This 718-nucleotide ribosomal RNA is filed under the name uncultured bacterium. Its description in RNAcentral is "bacterial SSU rRNA". It matches the Rfam family "Bacterial small subunit ribosomal RNA", at positions 56 to 789 of the family's 1533-position model. The record is from RNAcentral.
UGCAGUCGAACGGAAGCAAAGAUUUCGGUUUUUGCUUUAGUGGCGAACGGGUGAGUAACGCGUGAGGAACCUGCCUUUCAGUGGGGGACAACAGUUGGAAACGACUGCUAAUACCGCAUAAUGCUUUUGAGUGGCAUCACUUAAAAGCCAAAGAUUUAUUGCUGAAAGAUGGCCUCGCGUCUGAUUAGCUAGUUGGUGGGGUAACGGCCCACCAAGGCGACGAUCAGUAGCCGGUCUGAGAGGAUGAACGGCCACAUUGGGACUGAGAUACGGCCCAGACUCCUACGGGAGGCAGCAGUGGGGAAUAUUGGGCAAUGGGGGAAACCCUGACCCAGCAACGCCGCGUGAAGGAAGAAGGCCUUCGGGUUGUAAACUUCUUUUACCAGGGGCGAAAGAAAUGACGGUACCUGGAGAAAAAGCAACGGCUAACUACGUGCCAGCAGCCGCGGUAAUACGUAGGUUGCGAGCGUUGUCCGGAUUUACUGGGUGUAGAGGGCGUGUAGGCGGAGAUGCAAGUUGGGAGUGAAAUCCAUGGGCUCAACCCAUGAACUGCUUCCAAAACUGUAUCCCUUGAGUAUCGGAGAGGCAAGCGGAAUUCCUAGUGUAGCGGUGAAAUGCGUAGAUAUUAGGAGGAACACCAGUGGCGAAGGCGGCUUGCUGGACGACAACUGACGCUGAGGCGCGAAAGCGUGGGGAGCAAACAGGAUUAGAUACCCUG